RNAcentral lists this ribosomal RNA (330 nucleotides) under uncultured eukaryote. Its description in RNAcentral is "partial 18S ribosomal RNA". It matches the Rfam family "Eukaryotic small subunit ribosomal RNA", at positions 1470 to 1796 of the family's 1831-position model. The record is from RNAcentral.
CCCUUAGAUGUUCUGGGCCGCACGCGCGCUACGCUGAGCCCUUCAUCGAGUUUACAACCUUGGCCGGUAGGUCUGGGUAAUCUUCUCAAAGGGGCUCGUGCUGGGGAUAGAUUAUUGUAAUUUUUAAUCUUCAACGAGGAAUUCCUAGUAAACGCAAGUCAACAGCUUGCAUUGAUUACGUCCCUGCCCUUUGUACACACCGCCCGUCGCUACUACCGAUUGAAUGGCUUAGUGAGCCCGAGGGACUGUUGCACCUAGAGGGUUUUCUCUCCAGGAGCAGCCGGGAACUCGGUCAAACUUGAUCAUUUAGAGGAAGUAAAAGUCGUAACA